RNAcentral lists this long non-coding RNA (240 nucleotides) under Lathyrus oleraceus (garden pea). Its description in RNAcentral is "Pisum sativum (pea) long non-coding RNA (PSAT_LNC032753)". Lineage: Eukaryota; Viridiplantae; Streptophyta; Magnoliopsida; Fabales; Fabaceae. The record is from RNAcentral.
CCGCCUAUCCAUCAACAUAAAAGUGAAAGGAGCCCGCUAACUACUGCACUUCCUAAUGUGAUAUUGAGUUUUGCCUAAACUUGCCCGCCCAUACUCUUAACUUUUCGCUUAAGCUCUCAGACUAGAGCUAUUCUCAGUAAACCGAAAAUUCUAAUAUACCCCUCUCUCCUCAAUGGCUAAAUACCAAAGCUAACCUUAAAUGGGUUAAAGAACGAGCCAAAACAGGAUCUUAGCCUCAAU